CGAACGUGAUGAUGCCUGACAAUGGUCCCGCUUUUCUGGGCUGAUGUCUUGUGAUGCCACGAUUCUCUUGGCUAUCUGAUUCA
Sardina pilchardus (European sardine) is the source of this 83-nucleotide small nucleolar RNA. RefSeq annotates it as small nucleolar RNA SNORD53/SNORD92. The transcript has a single exon. NCBI's taxonomy places the organism in Eukaryota, Metazoa, Chordata, Actinopteri, Clupeiformes, Clupeidae. The record is from RefSeq and is a predicted model, not a curated record.